Long non-coding RNA from Homo sapiens (human), 446 nucleotides. The record is from Ensembl. NCBI's taxonomy places the organism in Eukaryota, Metazoa, Chordata, Mammalia, Primates, Hominidae.
CCCCUCAAGAAAUAUGGACUCCGUGGCAGAUGAAUGUAGAUGCCGGUUCUGGAGGCUCUUCUGGGUAGACCAGAAGCACCCACCUCCUCCGCUCACACCCUAGGGCACAGCCACCUUCCCCUCUGCCCUUUCCCCUCCCCCAGGCUCUGCUGCACUCCACUUUCCCCACACUUCCAGGGUGUUUACACUAGGGGUUGGAAAACUUCUUCUGUGACAGUCCAGAGAGGAAAUAUUGUAAACUCUGCAGAUCCCACAAUCACGGUGAUAACUCCUCAACCCUGCUGUUGGGGUGGAACAGCAGCCACAGCAAGAAAUGCUUGGCCAUGGCUGUGUUCCAGUACAAUGUUAUUUAUAGACACUGAAAUUUGAAUUGCAUGUUACUUUCUCAUGUCAUAAAAUAGUAUUCUUCCUUUGGUUCUUUUUCAACCAUUAAAAUGUGAAAAUCA